CUGAGCAUGCCUGGGGAAUGACAGGCAUCUGCACAGGCCCACGGCAUCACCUUGGCCAGGGUGUCGUCAUUGGCUGCUUAUUAGAAAAACUACAGGACAAUGCAUACCACUGACUGCCGGCUGUAAACAUAGGGGAUAUGUGUUCACUUAGCAUGGACUUCUGGGAGGGGCCAAGGAAGGGCGGUCUGCAGUUUUAUUGAAUAGAGCAGUGUGCAUUCGGCUGCCUGCCUGCCUGCUUGCUCUCUUGCUGUGCUCCUGCUUAAAGGGAUCAGCCCUUCCUUUCCCACGGAGUCCUGGGGAAGAGAUUUCAGCCGAGGAGGUAUCAAGAAAACAUUUCAACACCAUCCCGCUGAAUUCCAUAAGGCUUGGUGAUUAACCAGCAGGCUCAGAAGUGGAAGUGGACCUCUGACUGCCAACCUAUCCAGACACCAUCUGGUCUCCCUAAGACUGAACCCACACCAUGGAUGAUUUUGAACGUCGCAGAGAACUCAGGAGGCAAAAGAGGGAGGAGAUGCGGCUGGAAGCAGAAAGAAUUGCCUAUCAGAGGAACGACGAUGACGAAGAAGAGGCAGCGCGGGAACGUCGCCGGCGAGCGAGACAGGAAAGGCUGCGGCAGAAGCAAGAGGAAGAAUCCUUGGGACAGGUGACCGACCAGGUGGAGGUUCACACCCCGAACAGUGUCCCGGACGAGGAGUCCAAGCCAACCGCCACCAACACUCAGGUGGAGGGCGAUGAUGAGGCUGCCCUCCUGGAGCGUCUGGCCCGGAGAGAAGAGAGACGCCAGAAACGUCUUCAGGAAGCCCUGGAGCGGCAGAAGGAGUUCGACCCAACCAUCGCAGAUGCCAGCCUGUCCCUCCCCAGCGGAAGAAUGCAAAAUGACACAGCUGAAAACGAGACUGCGGAGAAGGAAGGGAAAAGAGAAAGUCGCCAAGAGAGAUACGAGAUAGAGGAGACGGAAAUAGUCACCAAGUCCUACCAGAAGAAUGACUGGAGGGAUGCCGAGGACAAGAAGAAAGACGAAAAGGAAAAGGAGGAGGAGGAGGAGGAAGAGAAGCCAAAGCAAGGGAGCGGUGGAGAAAAUCAGGUAGAGGCGAGGGUGGCAGAGAGCACAGCAGAAACCCAGGAGGAGACAGUGGUACCGGCCCUGAAAAACGGGGACCUGGAUGCAGAAGAGUCUCAAGUGGAGGAGAGGGAAGGAGGCUCAGAGGAGGCUUCUCAUAAUGAAAAGAUGGAAGGGGAAGAAAGGCAAAGAGCCGAGGCAGAGAGGCUGAGGGUGGAAGCAGAAGAAAGAGAAAGAAUUAAAGCCGAGCAAGAAAGACAGAGAGCGGAGGAGCAAGCAAGAAUAGCAGCAGAAGAAAGAGAGAGGAGGGAGGCGGAGGAGAGGGAGAGGGUAAAGGAGGAGGAGAGAAGGGCGGCCGAGGAGAGAAGGGUGGCCGAGGAGAGAAGGGCGGCCGAGGAGAGGCAGAGGGCCCAGGCAGAGGAGGAGGCGAAGGCUAGGAUAGAAGAGCAAAAGCGAAAAAAGCAGCUAGAGGAGAAGAGGAAUGAAAUGCAAGAGACAAAGAUGAGAGGGGAGAAAGCAGAAGAGAAAAGAGAAGGGAAGAGGGUCAAUGAAAAGAAAGUGUCCGAAGAUAAACCUCAGACAGCUGUCCUAAAGAAACAGGAAGAAGAAAAGGGAACAAAAGGGCAAGCUCAAAGGCAAAAGUCCCAAGAAGACAAGCCUACCUUCAAAAAAGGAGAGAUCAAAGAUGAGAAGAUUAAAAAAGACAAAGAGCCCAAAGAAGAAGUUAAGAGUUUCUUGGAUCGAAAGAAGGGAUUUACAGAAGUGAAGUCACAGAAUGGAGAAUUCAUGACCCACAAACUUAAACAUACUGAGAAUGCUUUCAGCCCCAGCCGCCCCGGAGCGCGGGCCGUCGGGGAAGCCGAGGGCGCUCCGCAGGUGGAAGCCGGCAAGAGGCUGGAGGAGCUCCGCCGCAGGCGCGGGGAGACCGAGAGCGAAGAGUUCGAAAAGCUCAAACAGAAGCAACAGGAGGCGGCCUUGGAGCUGGAGGAGCUGAAGAAAAAGAGAGAGGAGCGAAGGAAGGUCCUGGAGGAGGAAGAGCAGAAGAGGAAGCAGGAGGAAGCGGACCGCAAGGCCAGAGAGGAGGAAGAGAAGAGGAGGCUAAAGGAGGAGAUUGAGAGGCGAAGGGCAGAAGCUGCUGAGAAACGCCAGAAGAUGCCCGAAGAUGGCUUGUCGGACGACAAGAAGCCCUUCAAGUGCUUCACUCCUAAAGGCUCAUCUCUCAAGAUAGAAGAACGAGCAGAAUUUUUGAAUAAGUCUGUGCAGAAAAGCAGUGGUGUCAAAACAACUCAUCAAGCUGCAGUAGUCUCCAAGAUAGACAGCAGACUGGAGCAAUACACAAGUGCAAUUGAGGGAACAAAAACUGCAAAACCUAUCAAGCCAGCAGCCUCUGAUCUUCCUGUUCCUGCUGAAGGGGUACGCAAUAUCAAGAGCAUGUGGGAGAAAGGGAAUGUGUUCUCCUCCCCGACUGCAUCAGGCACACCAAAUAAGGAAACUGCUGGCCUGAAGGUGGGAGUCUCCAGCCGCAUCAAUGAAUGGCUAACUAAAACCCCGGAUGGGAAUAAGUCACCUGCUCCCAAACCUUCUUGUCUUUCUCAGCUGGCUUCUCUUCUUCCCUCUUUGGUCUGGUUGAUUGGAAACCUGCCUCUCCUGCCUUCAUUUCUCCCUCUUCUUCCGGAGUGGGUCUUUCUCUAAAAUGUAGUCUGGUCAGGACUUGAGGCCAGGAGACGUAACUGGCAAACGGAACCUCUGGGAAAAGCAAUCUGUGGAUAAGGUCACUUCCCCCACUAAGCAGGUUUGAGACAGUUCGAGAAAGAACCCAAGAGCUCAAGACGCCGGACCACCUCAGUUGUAGAGGGCUACUUGCUCUGUUUUAUAUUUAUGUCAAUUUACAAAAUUGGGUUCAUUUUCUUUUGUUUUUCAAUAUCCCAGUAAACCAAUGUAUAUGAUCACUAUAUUUAAUAAUCACAUCUAGAGAUGUUCAUGGUAAAAGUACCGCCUUUGCACAGGAGCCUGUUUCUAAAGAAACCCAUGCUGUGAAAUAGACUUUCCUACUGCUCGUGUCUGAACAGCGAUACCAACCACAUUGGAGUCACCAACAGGAGGUUAAGGUUGCCUGAGGAAUGUGUGCAGUAUCUAGGAAAAGGAACCAUAUUUGUUGUUGUUGUUAAUACAGAGGUCAUGUUGUUUCUGCACUUUAGAAUAAAGCAUGGAAGAAAUUAUCUACAUAGGCCAUGGUAACUGUUUCUGAAAGUAACCCGUUUUGGAUUUAAAAUUCUGCAAUAAUGAUGUCUUUUUUAAAAAAGAAGAUGUACUGUUAAGGUAUUACUUUUUUUCGUGCUGAUUCAUAUCUAAAUUGGAUUAUUAUUUUAGCUGACAGUGGUACUGAUUUUUUUUAGGUUGGUUGCUUUUGUGGAUUUCUUUGAUAGUGUAGUAGCCUGACCCACAUUUUAGAUUACCUGAUUAUGUAUGUAUGUAUGUAUAUGCAUACACGUAUACAAACACACUAACAGUAGAGUGCUUUUCAUGUGCUAGACUAUUAUUUUUAGUAGUAUGUCUUUGUAACUAGCCAAUAUCACAGCUCUUUAAAAAUUAAAAAAACACAAUAUUAUAUUAAUAUUUCAUAUUUGCCAACAGAAACAUGGCAGGUAGGUAUGGAAAUGUUUUCAAUGCCCGAUGACUUAUAAAAAAGAAAGUAUUGAAAAGAAAGAUUAGAAGUGUCAAAAGGAGUUGAAAUUUUCUAUAAUACAUAGUAUUUAGUCUAUAAUUCAAGACAAUUUUUGAAGCCCAGUGUGAAUUUUACAAAAUCUACUGUCUGAAUCAAAUUCAGCCUGUAAUAUUAAAGUUCAUGGUAAGUUGGCCAACAUGAUAGCUAAGGUCUCUUCCUUGGCUAAGAUUUAAAGACAAGAAUUUCAAUGACAAUACUGCACAGAUUGGAAUUCCAGACAGAGAUAUAAACAAAGACCAACUUUGGCUCAUGUCUGGAAGGGAAGCAGAGAAAUAAAGUGAGUAAAAUCUAGCAUUUAGGAGUGACACCUUCAUAUACUAGUACCUCCACCUUCAUAUACUUUGAACUAUUUUUCAAGUUAAACUUUUCUACUUUGUUGGUCAUUGGUACUUGUCAUAAGUUGAUAAUGUUCUAAAAUUUCAAAAAUAUAUGUGAAUUUUACUAGUAUGAUUUUUUUCCCCUGAGUCCUUAUUGACUUACCAUUUUUACACACACAAUACAGAUAUCUGAUCUUAUUUUAGCAUGUAAGUCUUUACUCUUCAUAAUAGAUGAUGGAAGAUACACCGGUAUCUUGGCAAAAUGUCCUAGUAUAGACAUAUACAUACAGCUUCACCAGGUUAAUUUCAUACCUCAGUUGACUUAGCCAAAAUUGUCUUAGGCUCCAUUCCUGCCAUACUGAUAGAGCAUCCCAAAUAACUAUGUUAUAAGCCACUUCUCCAGAAAGGCUAGCCAGGGAGGGCUGGCUUGUGGAGUAAGCACUGCCUUCCAAAGCCUGUCUUCCUCCUAAAUCAGGAAAGGUUAGUUGGAUUCCCUAGUUUUUAGCAAACCUGGACCAAAGGAAGGAAAGCCACCAAUAUUGCACAAGCCAUCCACCCAUGACAGAGUAGACACAAGUCUACGAUAAAAUGAACUAGAAUUCCCGUGAGACUCCCCUGUAGAGGAUUCCCAUCAUUGGAGUGAAAUGGUUCAACAUCUAAAUUAAGGCCAGUGGUGAGGGAACAUUGUUUUGCUGAACUUUUGAACAAGAGCUUCUCCUGAUCACUAUUCUAUGUAUUUUCUAGAAAAUCUAAAGUUGAGAAAAGAAUGUACUGAUCCUGACUUUUAUUCCAAUGUUUGGAAGGAAUAAGUUUUAAGGUAGAAUUUUUGUUCAGUUUAAAUUUAAUCUUUGGUAAAACAAAAUUUCUCGUUGACUUGUUUAAUUACAGUUCUCUGUUAUCUUUAAGAGAUAAAACUGCAAGCUGACUAGCAUGUUCUGUGAAUCUGCCAUUCUUUAAAAUGUUAUAAACACUUGAUAUUUUUCACUGAUAAUUGAUCGCUGCAAUAAAAAUAUAUUGUGAAAAUGCAUCCACAAUAAAUGGAAUUCCUCCAAAUGUUUUUGCCUCACAUAAUUCUAUAUAUUAUUUUGAUUGCAAGAGGUGUGCCUGUUAAAAUAAAGAUGAUGGCGUGGCAAA
Molecule: non-coding RNA, 5236 nt
Organism: Ictidomys tridecemlineatus (thirteen-lined ground squirrel)
Lineage: Eukaryota; Metazoa; Chordata; Mammalia; Rodentia; Sciuridae
Source: RefSeq, a predicted model, not a curated record